UCUUAGAGCGGUGGGCAUGGGAACAUAGAGGAAAGCCUAGAUUUCUUGGCCUCUUAAUUUAGGGGCAAAGAUUGUUUUGUGUUUUCCUGAUGCCUCCCAUGCCUAUAGUUCUUAG
This 115-nucleotide microRNA precursor is filed under the name Aegilops tauschii. RNAcentral describes it as "miR2118c stem-loop (ata-MIR2118c, ata-MIR2118d)". The record is from miRBase by way of RNAcentral. Lineage: Eukaryota; Viridiplantae; Streptophyta; Magnoliopsida; Poales; Poaceae.